Molecule: non-coding RNA, 476 nt
Filed under: Drosophila virilis
Lineage: Eukaryota; Metazoa; Arthropoda; Insecta; Diptera; Drosophilidae
Description: Eukaryotic large subunit ribosomal RNA
Rfam family: Eukaryotic large subunit ribosomal RNA
Source: Rfam by way of RNAcentral
CAACCUCAACUCAUAUGGGACUACCCCCUGAAUUUAAGCAUAUUAAUUAGGGGAGGAAAAGAAACUAACAAGGAUUUUCUUAGUAGCGGCGAGCGAAAAGAAAUCAGUUCAGCACUAAGUCACUUUGUCUAUAUGGCAAAUGUGAGAUGCAGUGUACGGAACAUCAACAUUCUAGUAUGAGAAGUUAACGAUUUAAGUCCUUCUUAAAUGAGGCCAUUUACCCAUAGAGGGUGCCAGGCCCCGAUAACGUUAAGGAUUACCUAGAUGGUGUUUCCAAAGAGUCGUGUUGCUUGAUAGUGCAACCCUAAGUGGGUGGGAAAACUCCCUCCAAAACUAAAUAUAAACCAUGAGAACCCAUAGUAAAACAAUACCCGUGAGGGAAAAUUUAAAAAGAAAUCCUAAAAUAAAGAUUUUAAUAGUAAGUGAAAACCUGUUAUAAAGGGUUAAGCCCCAAUUAAACCUGAAAUUAUCCCGUU